RNAcentral lists this ribosomal RNA (834 nucleotides) under uncultured Bacteroidota bacterium. RNAcentral's name for it is "bacterial SSU rRNA". It matches the Rfam family "Bacterial small subunit ribosomal RNA", at positions 30 to 860 of the family's 1533-position model. Lineage: Bacteria; Pseudomonadati; Bacteroidota. The record is from RNAcentral.
UGAACGCUAGCGGCAGGCUUAACACAUGCAAGUCGAGGGGCAGCGCGGGGCGGCAACGUCCUGGCGGCGACCGGCGGAAGGGUGCGUAACGCGUGAGCGACAUGCCCGUUGCCCGGGGACAACCGGUGGAAACGCCGACUAAUCCCCGAUGGGACGGAGGCCCUCAUGGGUCUCUGUUGAAAGUUACGGCGGCGACGGAUUGGCUCGCGUCCGAUUAGCUUGUUGGCGGGGUAACGGCCCACCAAGGCUACGAUCGGUAGGGGUUCUGAGAGGAAGGUCCCCCACAAUGGAACUGAGACACGGUCCAUACUCCUACGGGAGGCAGCAGUGAGGAAUAUUGGUCAAUGGGCGGAAGCCUGAACCAGCCAUGCCGCGUGCGGGAAGGAGGCCCUAUGGGCUGUGAACCGCUUUUGCCUGGGGGCAAUAAGGGCGUCGCGCACGUCCGAUGAGAGUACCAGGGGAAUAAGCAUCGGCUAACUCCGUGCCAGCAGCCGCGGUAAUACGGGGGAUGCGAGCGUUAUCCGGAUUCAUUGGGUUUAAAGGGUGCGUAGGCUGUGCGUCAAGUCAGGGGUGAAAUUCCGGGGCUCAACUCCGGGGCUGCCCUUGAUACUGUCGCGCUGGAGUGCGGAUGCCGCCGGAGGAAUGAGUGGUGUAGCGGUGAAAUGCUUAGAUAUCACUCAGAACACCGAUUGCGAAGGCAUCUGGCGAAUCCGUAACUGACGCUGAGGCACGAAAGCGUGGGGAUAGAACAGGAUUAGAUACCCUGGUAUUCCACGCCGUAAACGAUGAUGGCUAACCGCCGGCGACAUACUGUCGGUGGCCAAGCGAAAGCGA